RNAcentral lists this long non-coding RNA (867 nucleotides) under Equus caballus (horse). RNAcentral describes it as "lncRNA (ENSECAG00000054886.1)". Lineage: Eukaryota; Metazoa; Chordata; Mammalia; Perissodactyla; Equidae. The record is from RNAcentral.
AAAAAACACACUUUGAGAAACACUGGAUUAAAUUGUGAAACAAAUUGUAUCUAGGCAAUGGUAUAUAUCUCAAUUUAGCACUAAAAUGUGAUUGAGCUUUUAAAUAAAAUAAUUACUGAUUAGCGGAUGUUUGCACUUAGCUAUUUGGAUAAAGUUUCUUUCACGGAAACUAACAAAAAACUAGAACGGAAAACUAUGCUAACCAGGAGUCUCAGUUGCCCACACCUGUGAGAAUGGCAUCCUAUGAAGCAGCUCCUCCAGUUUAGAUGCUUUCACACAGUGCUUCUCAACCCUAACUCCAAAUUAGCCUCAUCUGGGGCUCUUAAACAUCCCAGUGCCCGGGAUCCACCUCAAACAAAUUAAAUCUGAACAUUUCGGGGUGGAGCCCGAGUAACAGCAAUUUUAAAAAGCUCACCAACCAAUGCUAAUGUGCAGCCAAGGUCAAGAACCACCAGCUCUAAUGAGAACUGAGGGGCUAGUCUUGCAAAACCAGCUCUGGAAAGCAAAGUUCUCUUCACUUGCUCAUUCUCCACAGACCUGGACUGGAGGCAUCACAUCCGAUGGUCGCAUAUGCUCAUAACAGUAAUGGAGAAGAAUAGACCGUCUUCAGAACCCUGACCUCCUUCAAGGAAAAACUCCGCCUCCAUGCAGGCCAUAUGAGAAGUCUGACUUCAUGCCCAGCUCCAGAAUGUUCCAAAGACAUGGCCACAUGCUACAAGCCCAGGAAGAAGGCCACCACAGAGGCCAGCAAAGCCAAGAGCAUCUCAGGAAAAUGGGGCAAGAGCUCCUGGAUUAAGCCAGCACUGAAGCCCGCCCUAUCUCUGGACUUCCAAUCACAUAGCUCAAUAAACGUCUUUCUUCUUUAAG